RNAcentral lists this ribosomal RNA (252 nucleotides) under uncultured bacterium. RNAcentral's name for it is "partial 16S ribosomal RNA". It matches the Rfam family "Bacterial small subunit ribosomal RNA", at positions 524 to 776 of the family's 1533-position model. The record is from RNAcentral.
UACGUAGGGGGCAAGCGUUGUCCGGAAUUAUUGGGCGUAAAGCGCGCGCAGGCGGUCAUUUAAGUCUGGUGUUUAAUCCUGGGGCUCAACCCCGGGUCGCACUGGAAACUGGGUGGCUUGAGUACAGAAGAGGAGAGUGGAAUUCCACGUGUAGCGGUGAAAUGCGUAGAGAUCCGGAAGAACACCGGUGGCGAAGGCGGCGUUCUGGACUGCAACUGACACUGAUGAACGAAAGCCAGGGGAGCAAACGGG